RNAcentral lists this ribosomal RNA (398 nucleotides) under uncultured bacterium. RNAcentral's name for it is "partial 16S ribosomal RNA". It matches the Rfam family "Bacterial small subunit ribosomal RNA", at positions 523 to 918 of the family's 1533-position model. The record is from RNAcentral.
AUACGUAGGGUGCGAGCGUUGUCCGGAAUUACUGGGCGUAAAGAGCUCGUAGGUGGUUUGUCGCGUCGUCUGUGAAAUUCCGGGGCUUAACUCCGGGCGUGCAGGCGAUACGGGCAUAACUUGAGUACUGUAGGGGAGACUGGAAUUCCUGGUGUAGCGGUGAAAUGCGCAGAUAUCAGGAGGAACACCGGUGGCGAAGGCGGGUCUCUGGGCAGUAACUGACGCUGAGGAGCGAAAGCAUGGGUAGCGAACAGGAUUAGAUACCCUGGUAGUCCAUGCCGUAAACGGUGGGCGCUAGGUGUAGGGGUCUUCCACGACUUCUGUGCCGUAGCUAACGCAUUAAGCGCCCCGCCUGGGGAGUACGGCCGCAAGGCUAAAACUUAAAGGAAUUGGCGGGG